CCUACGGGUGGCAGCAGUGAGGAAUAUUGGUCAAUGGGCGAGAGCCUGAACCAGCCACGUAGCGUGAAGGAUGACUGCCCUACGGGUUGUAAACUUCUUUUAUAUGGGAAUAAAAUGUUCCACGUGUGGGAUUUUGUAUGUACCAUAUAGAUCAAGAUCGGCUACCUGCGGUCCAGCAGCCGCGGUAAUACGGAGGAACCGAGCGUUAUCCGGAUUUAUUGGGUUUAAAGGGCGCGUAGGUGGGUUGUUAAGUCAGUUGUGAAAGUUUGCGGCUCAACCGUAAAAGUGCAGUUGAAACUGGCAGUCGUGAGUGCAGGAGAGGUAGGCGGAAUUCGUGGUGUAGCGGUGAAAUGCUUAGAUAUCACGAAGAACUCCGAUUGCGAAGGCAGCGUACUGGACUGCAACUGACGCUGAGGCUCGAAAGUGUGGGUAUCAAACAGGAUUAGAUACCCGAGUAGUC
Molecule: ribosomal RNA, 460 nt
Filed under: uncultured bacterium
Lineage: Bacteria
Description: partial 16S ribosomal RNA
Rfam family: Bacterial small subunit ribosomal RNA
Source: RNAcentral